This 2218-nucleotide long non-coding RNA is filed under the name Trifolium pratense (red clover). RNAcentral describes it as "long non-coding RNA (TPRA_LNC003544)". Lineage: Eukaryota; Viridiplantae; Streptophyta; Magnoliopsida; Fabales; Fabaceae. The record is from RNAcentral.
GCUCCAUUCUUCCUAUUUCUUUUCUUCUUGGUCGAAAAACCCUUUUCAUUGUACCUACCCUCAAGUUUCAAUUCCUUCACCAUCUAUGAGAGGACUUGGAUGCAUGGUGAUCAUCUCUUCUCUGAUAAGAUGCCAAUAUUUGGAUUGAGUCAAUGUUACUCAGAAAGUUAAGGUAAGAAACUCACUUUCCAUGAACACAUAGUUUUUCCUCUUUUAAAUCCAAUCACUAAAUCUUAACCCCAUACUUGAAAUUUGUCCUUGGAUGCACGUUUACUCUUUAAAACACGAAUCUUGAGAUGUCUGGAAGGUCAUGGGUGUUGGAGAAAUUAAGUGAAACUAGAGAAUGAAGAAUUUUGGUAUCAAACCCGUAUUCAAGGACAGACCUGCACUAAAAAGGUAACUGUUCUCUCCCUGUAGCUCCGAAUGAGAUACCGUUUAUUUCUAUGGAUAGCUAACUCAAAUACGGUCGUUGUGGUACCGGUUUUAUAAGGACGAGCGAUGAGGUCGAUAGACAUUUUUGAAGUUGGAAGCCAGUAGCAGGAAUUGUGCAGAAAAUCUGGAAUUUUGGUGUUUUAUGUGCUACGGGUUUGCAUCUUGAGCGGCUCAAGCGGAUGAUUAUAUGCGAAACAGUUCGGAAUUGCUAUCAAAUCAGGUGGGUUCCUUUAGGUAAACUCUCACUUAAUAGAGUAGCCUUAUUAGUUUUCCCCAAAAUCCAACUAUGCAUGUUAACUUAAGUUUUAGGGAUUAAUNNNNNNNNNNNNNNNNNNNNNNNNNNNNNNUGAUUUUAAGUUAUGCAGGAAAUCGAGCUUGAGCCGGCUUAAACAGAGCUUGAACCGAUGCGACGUUUCCUUAAAAACUCUAAAAUGCCCAUUAUGGGUGUUAUGAGCUGGUGCAUGCGCAUCAUGGAUCAGUGCAUAACUCUCAGGAGAUGUUUUAUAAAAACUGGAAACGAUUGAAUCGGUGCAUUCACUUGUUGAAUUGACUCAACCAAGGUUUGGGCAGGUUUUAAUCGGUACAAGGGAUGCUUGAGCCGAUUCAUAUAACUCACAUUAUUUUCUUAAAAACUGAAUUAUAUGCAUCGGUGCAUAAAACACUUGAAUUGGUGCAACCUGAGAUAAUUAUUUUUGUAACAAAAACCAUUUGGUUUAUGGAUGGAGGUUAUAAUAACUAUUUUAUUUCAAUUAAAAACCCUCUGCCAUGAACAUUAUUUUAUAAAAAUAAUAAGUGACUAAAUUCCACGAUUACGGAUCUUCGUACAUGUAUUAAAAUCAGUAGACAUAGGAAUUGAAUCAGGAUAUUCAGGAUAGUUAGAUAUAUCCCGGGAAGGUUUUCUUUCUUUUGGGUAGGAUAACCAUUCAAGAUUAGGAAUUAUGUUUCAGAAUUUAUCAGGAUGGUUGGUCAUUAGUACCAAUAUCAGGAAGCGUGGUCAUUNNNNUCAUGUUGUAUUCCGACGUACAUUAUUAUCGGUAAUACCAGGCCAGGCACUCCGGGACCGGCUUACCCCGGGGUGAUCCUGUUAUGAUAAAAUUGACAAGAUAAUUAUUAUGUGUGUUACACCUUUAUUUCUUUAUUAUCAUAUUAUGAAAACUUCAGGAUUAUGUCAAGAUUAGACUUUUAGAUAUUCAGGUUCAGGUUAAAGUUAGAAACUAUUAGUUUCAGUUGCCCCGGUGUAGUCACCAGUAGUUGGGUAGUAGGAGCUCACUGAGGCUUAGUAGUCUCAUCCCACGACUUUCAAUUUUUUUAGGUAAACAGGUUAACCGGAGCAAGGACCAGGCAGGAACUGAUGAUCGAAGCUAAGCUUGGAUUAUUGGAUUAGAAGACCUUCGUCUUCUUCUUUGUUUUUGUUAAUCUGUUAUUAAGAUUUCAGUCAUCAUUUCAGCUGCGUUGUAUUGAUUAUCACGUUAUUCUCGUGAUAAUUUGUAAUUCAAUUAAUUAUUCUGUAAAUUUUAAUGUACUCAGAUUCAAUUAUUAAUAUCUCGACUAAAUAUUCUAGACAAUUUAGUUGGGAUGUUACAAUUGGUAUCAGAGCAGGUCGAUCUAGUAUCGGACCUUGCCAUGAGUCAUUAGAAUUCAUUCCUAAGUAGUACGGACCCUUUGGAGUCUUGACUGUUUACGCUGAAAUCAUCGCGUGCUGAGCCCGUACAACUCAGUAUUGUGCAUGAUAGGCAGGGUAUUAUGGUUGAGAACUGAAGUGGACCAAGUACGUCGAGUAGUAAGA